RNAcentral lists this ribosomal RNA (208 nucleotides) under uncultured bacterium. Its description in RNAcentral is "partial 16S ribosomal RNA". It matches the Rfam family "Bacterial small subunit ribosomal RNA", at positions 568 to 775 of the family's 1533-position model. The record is from RNAcentral.
UGCGUAGGUGGCAGGGUAAGUUCGGUGUGAAAGCUUCGAGCUCAACUCGAAAAUGGCAUCGAAAACUAUCCUGCUUGAGGGUCGGAGGGGAGACUGGAAUUCUCGGUGUAGCAGUGAAAUGCGUAGAUAUCGAGAGGAACACCAGUGGCGAAAGCGGCACACUGGGUCUUAACUGACGCUGAGGCACGAAAGCCAGGGGAGCAAACGG